Molecule: ribosomal RNA, 626 nt
Filed under: uncultured fungus
Lineage: Eukaryota; Fungi
Description: eukaryotic LSU rRNA
Rfam family: Eukaryotic large subunit ribosomal RNA
Source: RNAcentral
CCCGCUGAACUUAAGCAUAUCAAUAAGCGGAGGAAAAGAAACUAACAAGGAUUGCCUCAGUAACGGCGAGUGAAGCGGCAACAGCUCAAAUUUGAAAUCUGGCUCUUUUAGGGUCCGAGUUGUAAUUUGUAGAGGAUGCUUCGGCGUCGGCUCCGGUCCAAGUUCCUUGGAACAGGACGUCAUAGAGGGUGAGAAUCCCGUAUGUGAUCGGUUGCCCUUGCCAUGUGAAGCUCCUUCGACGAGUCGAGUUGUUUGGGAAUGCAGCUCUAAAUGGGUGGUAAAUUUCAUCUAAAGCUAAAUAUUGGCCGGAGACCGAUAGCGCACAAGUAGAGUGAUCGAAAGAUGAAAAGCACUUUGAAAAGAGAGUUAAACAGCAUGUGAAAUUGUUGAAAGGGAAGCGCUUGCGACCAGACUCGCCCGCGGAGGCUCAGCCGGCAUGCUUUGGCGGUGCACUCCUUCGCGGUCGAGCCAGCGUCGGUUCUGACGGUUGGUUAAAGGCUCUCGGAAUGUGUCGUCUCUCGGGGCGUCUUAUAGCCGAGGGUGCAAUGCGACCAGUCGGGACCGAGGAACGCGCUUCGGCACGGACGCUGGCGUAAUGGUCGUAAGCGACCCGUCUUGAAACACGG